AUUGAACGCUGGCGGCAGGCUUAACACAUGCAAGUCGAGCGGGGUGAUGGUGCUUGCACUAUCACUUAGCGGCGGACGGGUGAGUAAUGCUUAGGAAUCUGCCUAUUAGUGGGGGACAACAUCUCGAAAGGGAUGCUAAUACCGCAUACGUCCUACGGGAGAAAGCAGGGGAUCACUUGUGACCUUGCGCUAAUAGAUGAGCCUAAGUCGGAUUAGCUAGUUGGUGGGGUAAAGGCCUACCAAGGGGACGAGCUGUAGCGGGUCUGAGAGGAUGAUCCGCCACACUGGGACGGAGACACGGCCCAGACUCCUACGGGAGGCAGCAGUGGGGAAUAUUGGACAAUGGGGGGAACCCUGAUCCAGCCAUGCCGCGUGUGUGAAGAAGGCCUUAUGGUUGUAAAGCACUUUAAGCGAGGAGGAGGCUCUUUUGGUUAAUACCCAAGAUGAGUGGACGUUACUCGCAGAAUAAGCACCGGCUAACUCUGUGCCAGCCGCCGCCGUAA
Molecule: ribosomal RNA, 503 nt
Filed under: uncultured bacterium
Lineage: Bacteria
Description: partial 16S ribosomal RNA
Rfam family: Bacterial small subunit ribosomal RNA
Source: RNAcentral